Molecule: ribosomal RNA, 265 nt
Filed under: Blastocystis sp.
Lineage: Eukaryota; Bigyra; Opalinata; Blastocystidae
Description: partial small subunit ribosomal RNA
Rfam family: Eukaryotic small subunit ribosomal RNA
Source: RNAcentral
GAUUAAGCCAUGCAUGUGUAAGUAUAACUAAUUGACUUUGAAACUGCGAAUGGCUCAUUAUAUCAGUUAUAGUUUAUUUGGUGAAGGAUACUAAUUGGAUAACCGUAGUAAUUCUAGGGCUAAUACAUGAGUAAAGUCCCAUUGGGAUGUGUUUAUUAGAAUGAAAACCAUAUGCUUCGGCAUGAUAGUGAGUAAUAGUAACCUAUCGUAUCGCAUGCUUAAUGUAGCGAUGAGUCUUUCGAUGGUAGCAUAUGGGUCUACCAUG